CGUGAUCGAGGCGGUAGCUGGUGGAAUUAUCUGAGGAAACAAUGCCUCACACUCAUUCAAUUUUUUGUAUUGCUCGAAAAGAACAACUUGUCAACAACCAAAAAAAUUAUGAAUUGAACUCAUAAAGAAGUUCACGUAUAUGUUAUAUAAGACCAGUUUUUUGACGCGUGCUUCACACGUGCAUGUCAAAUCAUGUAAUAUAUACUUUUAUAAAUAAUUUUAGCUCAUUUGUUUUAACUGCUGAAGGAGAUGGUAAUAGGGUACCCACAUUGGUACCCUCGUCGCUGCCGCUGCUGUAUUCUUUGUCAAUUGAUAUUCUCGUAUUUGCUGUUGUUGGAGAUGGUAGUACGCUACCUGCAUUGGGUAUCCCGCCGCCACCAUCUUUGCUGCAUUCACGACAUUCUCUGCUGAUCAUUUCGAUUUAUUAUCCAUUGUGCUUAGGCGAUAAUUUCUAUGUUUGCAACCAUAGAGUGAGAAAAUGGAAAAAGAGUAGCCCAGUUGUGUUGUACGCUCUUACUAUUUGUACAAACUAAAUUUGUACUUAUUACCGUAUAAACAGGGAGAGUGAGGCCAACACAUCAGGACGAAACCUCAUUUCUAGUCCGUAACCUCAUUUCUCUAUAAGUGGUAGCUGGUGAUUAACUCUUUUUUUUUUUUGAUAAAUUACUUUUUUUCUUUUCCUUUAUUGGGUUAAUUUUUAUUUACUAUUUUCUUUAUUUUUAUUUUUAUUUUUUUUCUUUUCUUCAAUUAUUUUUUUCUCGUGUUACAUACUCCAU
RNAcentral lists this long non-coding RNA (776 nucleotides) under Capsicum annuum. RNAcentral describes it as "long non-coding RNA (CANN_LNC004219)". Lineage: Eukaryota; Viridiplantae; Streptophyta; Magnoliopsida; Solanales; Solanaceae. The record is from RNAcentral.